AGCAGCCGCGGUAAUUCCAGCUCCAAUAGCGUAUAUUAAAGUUGUUGCAGUUAAAAGCUCGUAGUUGAAUUUCGGGGUCAGUAGGUUGGUCGUGCCACCGGUACGUACUGGUCUCACUGAUUCCUCCUUCCUGAAGAGCCGUAAUGCCAUUAAUUUGGUGUUGCGGGGAAACAGGACUGUUACUUUGAAAAAUUAGAGUGUUUAAAGCAGGCUAACGCUUGAAUACAUUAGCAUGGAAUAAUGAAAUAGGACGAUCGAUCCUAUUUUGUUGGUUUCUAGGAUUGACGUAAUGAUUAAUAGGGAUAGUUGGGGGCAUUAGUAUUCAAUUGUCAGAGGUGAAAUUCUUGGAUUUAUUGAAGACUAACUACUGCGAAAGCAUUUGCCAAGGAUGUUUUCAUUAAUCAAGAACGAAAGUUAGGGGAUCGAAGACGAUCAGAUACCGUCGUAGUCUUAACCAUAAACUAUGCCGACUAGGGAUCGGAUGAUGUUAAUUUUUUAAUGACUCAUUCGGCGCCUUACG
This 520-nucleotide ribosomal RNA is filed under the name uncultured Glomus. RNAcentral describes it as "SSU rRNA". It matches the Rfam family "Eukaryotic small subunit ribosomal RNA", at positions 569 to 1092 of the family's 1831-position model. The record is from RNAcentral. Lineage: Eukaryota; Fungi; Glomeromycota; Glomeromycetes; Glomerales; Glomeraceae.